This is a long non-coding RNA of Homo sapiens (human), 2554 nucleotides long. RefSeq lists it as uncharacterized. The transcript is spliced from 2 exons. The record is from RefSeq and is a predicted model, not a curated record. NCBI's taxonomy places the organism in Eukaryota, Metazoa, Chordata, Mammalia, Primates, Hominidae.
UGAGACAUGACUCAGACCAUAAAUUCUGUUCUCAGAAUUUAGAAUUGGGAAACCAAGCUGCCGGUUGGUGAGGGUCACCAGUAGCACCAGGUCAGGAUGUGGGGAGUAAUGAGACCAUGGCCAUUGCCACUAUGAGGAAUGACAGACUAGGUGAGAAAAGGAGGAUACAGCAGACUCCACAAGGGAGAAAAAAUGAGAAAGGCCACAGGGCCCCAGAUAGGGGCAGAAAUGGUGCCCUUUACUCCGUAAUUCUCAAUUCCAGCUUUCUCGAGGUGUCCUUCCUCUUCCUGCCUUUGGCCUCUGGGAUUUAUCCUAUUAUUAAUAACCCUAUUAAUAAUAAUUAUUAUUAUUAACAUUAUUCUGUCUUAUUGAGGAUAAUCUUACAAUGAAAAUUCCUUUAGCUUGAACCUGUGUGAGUAGAAAUAUAUUCCUCAAACCCCAAAGAGCCUUGACUAAAGUAGUGACCUAUGUGAGCACCACGGGAAAUGAAAAUCACUCAACAUUUAGUGAAGGAGGUUGUGAUCAUAAAAGCUGGCUGAGAGAUCCACAUGGGGCAUCCUUAAGGUCUCCAGUUGAGUUCAGCAUCCCUGAAGCUAUGCUUCCAUAGUGCUCCAGUGCUCUGUGCAUUUCCAAGGGUGGCAAAGAUGAAUAAAUCUCUGCUAUAAUUCCAGAACCUUCUAUGUGUUUCCAAAAGCAAAAGAAAUGAAUACAUUUCUGGUGUUGGUGUUGUUUGAGGAUGUGGCUAAGGACUUCACUUGGGAGGAGUGACCAGAUCUGGAUGAUGCUUAGCAGACCCUGUACAGAGACAUGAUGCUGGAGACCUACAGCAGCUUGGUAUCCUUGGGACACUGCAUUACCAAACCUGAGAUUAUCUUCUGGAGCAAGGAUCAGAGCCAUGGACAAAAGGGCCCAAAACACAGCCUCCCAGCCAUGUGAAGGUGCCUGCUACCACUUUGCCUUGUGCCAUAAGUCAGAGUUCCCUGAGACCUCCCCAGAAUCAGAUGGUGCCAUGCUUCCUGUACAGCCCAGACAAUCGUGAGCCAGUUAAACCUAUUUUCUUUAUAAAUUAAAAAGAAAAGAAAACAAGUGUAAGCAAGGAUAUGAAGAAGAGAACCCUUGUACACUGUUGGUGAAAAUGAAAAUCAGUGCAACCACUAUGGAAAAUAGUAUGGAGGCACCUCAAAAAAUUUAAAUCAGAAAUACCAUACGAUCCAGCAAUCCUACUUCUGGAUAUAUAUUCAAAGGAGUUGAAAUCAGGGUCUUGAAGAGAGAUCUGCACUUUUACAUUUAUUGCAGCAUUAUUCACAAUAGGCAAGAUAUGGAAUCAACUUCAGUGUCCAUCAAUGAAUAAAUGGACAACGAAAUUGUGAUAUUAAAAAAAGUAUAUACUUAUGGUAUAUGAUACAAUGUUUUGAUAUAUGUAUACCUUGUAGAAAGUCUAAAUCAAGCUAACUAACAAUGAAUUACCUUGUUUUUAUCAAUUUAAAAGUAAUUUUUUUUUUUUGACACAGAGUCUUGUUCUGUCACCCAGGCUGGAAAGCGGUGAUCUCGGCUCACUGCAAUCUCUGCUUCCCGGGUUCAAUCGAUUCCUAUGCCUCAGCUUCCCGAGUAGCUGGGAUUACAGACAUGCACAACCACACCUGGCUAAUUUUUGUAUUUUUAGUAAAGAUGGGGUUUCACCCUAUCUCUCAGGCUUGUCUCGAACUCCUGGCCUCAUGUGAUCGGCCCACCUCAGCCUGCCAAAGUGCUGGGAUUACAGGCAUAAGCCACUGCACCCAGCCAGUUUUUUUUUAAAAGUAAAGAUAAUUAUAUAUAUGUGUGUAUACACACACACACAUACAUAUAUAUAUAUACACACAUGCACACACACAAUGGAAUGUCAGCCUUUAAAAAGAAGGAAAUCCCGCCAUUUGCAGCAACAUUGAUUAAACUGAAGGUCAUUAUGCUAAGUGAAAUAAGCCAGAAACAGAAGGACAAAUACUGCGUGAUCUCACUUAUAUGUAAAAUUUAAAGUAGUCAAAUUCAUAGAAGUAGAUUAUAGAACGGCAGUUGUCAGGGGCUGGAAGGAGGUUGAAAAUGGGAAGGUGAAAAUUUUAGUUGUGCAAAAUAAGUAAGUUCUAGAGAUCUACUAUAGAGCAUAGUGCUGACAGCUAACAAUACUGUAUUGUAUACUUAAAAUUUGCUAAGAGGGUAGAUAUUAUGUUAAGUGUUCUUGGUACCAAAAUAAUCAUCAUGAUUAUCAUCAUAAUGGGGGCAAGAGAAAACUUUGGAAGGUUACAUGUAUGUCUACGGCCAUGAUAGGUGAUGGCAUCAUAAUGUAUAGUUUUUUCCCAAACUCACUGAGAUGUAUACAUUAAAUAUGUACAGUCUUUUAUAUGUCAAUCAUCCCAUAAUAAGUGGGUUCAAAAAUGAAAGAAAAUAAUUCUAGUUUCUUUAUUAUUAUCAGACUUUUAGAGCCUUUGGAUUCUUAAUUAUAUAAUAGGACUCUCUCAAGGAAAAAAAUAAUAUUCAAAUAUUCAAGGAGCCAAUUAAAAAAAAGCUUUGGAGAUGUUGA